Molecule: ribosomal RNA, 482 nt
Filed under: uncultured bacterium
Lineage: Bacteria
Description: partial 16S ribosomal RNA
Rfam family: Bacterial small subunit ribosomal RNA
Source: RNAcentral
AUUGAACGCUGGCGGCAUGCUUUACACAUGCAAGUCGAACGGUAACAGGCCGCAAGGUGCUGACGAGUGGCGAACGGGUGAGUAAUGCAUCGGAACGUGCCCAGUCGUGGGGGAUAACUACUCGAAAGAGUAGCUAAUACCGCAUACGAUCUAUGGAUGAAAGCGGGGGACCGUAAGGCCUCGCGCGAUUGGCGCGGCCGAUGUCAGAUUAGGUAGUUGGUGGGGUAAAGGCUCACCAAGCCAACGAUCUGUAGCUGGUCUGAGAGGACAACCAGCCACACUGGGACUGAGACACGGCCCAGACUCCUACGGGAGGCAGCAGUGGGGAAUUUUGGACAAUGGGCGCAAGCCUGAUCCAGCAAUGCCGCGUGCAGGAAGAAGGCCUUCGGGUUGUAAACUGCUUUUGUACGGAACGAAACGGCUCUGGUUAAUACCCGGGGCUAAUGACGGUACCGUAAGAAUAAGCACCGGCUAACUACGUG